GGCUCGGUGCUGCAGUGGUUAGCUCUGCUGCCUCACAGUAAGAAGGUCGUCAGUUCAAAUCCGGCCUGGGGCC
Non-coding RNA from Gymnothorax javanicus (giant moray), 73 nucleotides. Lineage: Eukaryota; Metazoa; Chordata; Actinopteri; Anguilliformes; Muraenidae. The record is from the annotation of a GenBank genome assembly.